CUGCUCAGUAACACGUAGUUAACCUAACCUAUGGACGGGGAUAACCUCGGGAAACUGAGAAUAAUCCCCGAUAGAUCACGGUGCCUGGAAUGGCCCGUGGUCCAAAUGAUUUAUCGCCGUAGGAUGGGACUGCGGCCUAUCAGCUAGUUGGUGAGGUAAUGGCCCACCAAGGCUAUAACAGGUACGGGCUCUGAGAGGAGGGGCCCGGAGAUGGGUACUGAGACACGGACCCAGGCCCUAUGGGGCGCAGCAGGCGAGAAACCUUUGCAAUGUGCGAAAGCACGACAAGGUUAAUCCGAGUGUCUCCUGCUAAAGGAGUCUUUUGCCGGUCAUAGAACCACCGGUGAAUAAGGGGUGGGCAAGUUCUGGUGUCAGCCGCCGCGGUAAAACCAGCACCUCGAGUGGUCAGGAGGUUUAUUGGGCCUAAAGCAUCCGUAGCCGGCUGCUCAAGUUUUCGGUUAAAUCUAUGCGCUCAACGUAUAGGCCGCCGAAAAUACUGGGCAGCUAGGGAGUGGGAGAGGUACACGGUACUCAAUAGGAAGGGGUAAAAUCCUUUGAUCUAUUGAUGACCACCUGUGGCGAAGGCGGUGUACCAGAACACGUUCGACGGUGAGGGAUGAAAGCUGGGGGAGCAAACCGGAUUAGAUACCCGGGUAGUCCCAGCUGUAAACGAUGCAGACUCGGUGAUGCAUUGGCUUGUGGCCAAUGCAGUGCCGCAGGGAAGCCGUUAAGUCUGCCGCCUGGGAAGUACGUACGCAAGUAUGAAACUUAAAGGAGUUGGCGGGGGAGCACCACAAGGGGUGAAGCCUGCGGUUCAAUUGGAGUCAACGCCAGAAAUCUUACCUGGGGCGACAGCAGAAUGA
Molecule: ribosomal RNA, 863 nt
Filed under: uncultured archaeon
Lineage: Archaea
Description: bacterial SSU rRNA
Rfam family: Archaeal small subunit ribosomal RNA
Source: RNAcentral